Molecule: ribosomal RNA, 407 nt
Filed under: uncultured bacterium
Lineage: Bacteria
Description: partial 16S ribosomal RNA
Rfam family: Bacterial small subunit ribosomal RNA
Source: RNAcentral
GACGAACGCUGGCGGCGUGCCUAAUACAUGCAAGUAGGACGCAGUUGCGAACGGGUGAGUAACGCGUAGGUAACUACCUACUAGAGGGGGAUAACAAACGGAAACGAUAGCUAAUAUCGCAUACUAGUAGAUGGACCUGCGUUGUAUUAGCUAGUAGGUAGGGUAAUGGCCUACCUAGGAAACGAAUCAUAGCCGACCUGGGAGGGGGAUCGGGCACACUGGGACUGGGACACGGCCCAAACUCCUACGGGAGGCAGCAGUAGGGGAUUUUCGGCAAUGGGGGGAACCCUGGCCGAGCAACGCCGCGUGAGUGAAGAAGGUUUUCGGAUCGUAAAGCUCUGUUGUUAAGGAAGCGGUACUUAACCAGAAAGGGACGGCUAACUACGUGCCAGCAGCCGCGGUAAUAC